Molecule: unclassified non-coding RNA, 366 nt
Filed under: Hevea brasiliensis (rubber tree)
Lineage: Eukaryota; Viridiplantae; Streptophyta; Magnoliopsida; Malpighiales; Euphorbiaceae
Source: RNAcentral
GGAAGGUCUCAUGAUGUUACAGAGUGAGCUAAAACAUCAAAGAAAGAUUGCGAGGAGCUUGAAAAAGAAAUCUCUUUGGGCUAAGGGUUUGGAGGAGGUUGUGGAGAAGCUUGUUGACAUUGUUACAUAUAUACAUCAAGCAAUUGUGGAAGCAUUUGGGGACAACGGAUUGACAUCUGCUGUCAAGGAGCCUGUGAAGAAACAAGAAAGAUUGGGAGUAGCUGGUCUGGCUUUACACUAUGCUAACUUAGUUACUCAAAUUGAUAACAUUGCUUCACGGCCCACCGCUCUUCCCCCUAACAUGAGGGAUGGAUUAUAUAAUGGAUUGCCUCCUUCCAUAAAAACGGCCCUUCGUUCACGUCUGCA